Molecule: ribosomal RNA, 494 nt
Filed under: uncultured bacterium
Lineage: Bacteria
Description: partial 16S ribosomal RNA
Rfam family: Bacterial small subunit ribosomal RNA
Source: RNAcentral
GACGAACGCUGGCGGCGUGCUUAACACAUGCAAGUCGAACGGUGAAGCGCCUUCCUUUUUGGUGGGUGUGGAUGAGUGGCGAACGGGUGAGUAACACGUGAGUAACCUGCCCCCUUCUUCUGGAUAACCGCAUGAAAGUGUGGCUAAUACGGGAUAUUCUGGGUCUGUCGCAUGAUGGGUCUGGGAAAGAUAUUGUUUCGGUGGGGGAUGGGCUCGCGGCCUAUCAGCUUGUUGGUGGGGUGAUGGCCUACCAAGGCGGUGACGGGUAGCCGGCCUGAGAGGGUGGACGGUCACACUGGGACUGAGACACGGCCCAGACUCCUACGGGAGGCAGCAGUGGGGAAUAUUGCACAAUGGGCGCAAGCCUGAUGCAGCGACGCCGCGUGAGGGAUGGAGGCCUUCGGGUUGUGAACCUCCUUCGCCAGUGAAGCAGGCCUGCCUCGUUUGUGGGUGGGUUGACGGUAGCUGGAUAAGAAGCGCCGGCUAACUACGUG